UGCGUCAAGAAAAGCCGCUAUUGUUUAUACCGUACCCGUACCGUAAACCGACACAGGUGGAUGAGGAGAGAAUCCUAAGGCCGGCGGAAGAAGCAUUGUCAAGGAACUCGGCAAAAUGGCCCCGUAACUUAGGGAUAAGGGGUGCCUGGGAAACCAGGCCGCAGAGAAUAGGCUCAAGCAACUGUUUAGCAAAAACACAGGUCUAUGCGAAACCGAAAGGUGAGGUAUAUGGGCUGACGCCUGCCCGGUGCUGAAGGUUAAGAGGAGAGGUUAGCGCAAGCGAAGCUUUGAAUUUAAGCCCCAGUAAACGGCGGCCGUAACAAUAACGGUCCUAAGGUAGCGAAAUUCCUUGUCGGGUAAGUUCCGACCCGCACGAAAGGCGUAAUGAUUUGAGCGCUGUCUCGACAAUGCAUCCGGUGAAAUUGAAGUACCCGUGAAGAUGCUGGUUACCUGCGCCAGGACGGAAAGACCCCAUGGAGCUUUACUCCAGUUUGGUACUGGGACUCGGUAUUGCAUGUACAGGAUAGGUGGGAGGCUGAGAGACAGUAACGCCAGUUAUUGUGGAGCCGCUGUUGGGAUACCACCCUUGCAGUAUUGGGUUUCUAACCAGCCGCCGUGACCCGGCGGUGGGACAAUGCCAGACGGGGAGUUUGACUGGGGCGGUCGCCUCCGAAAGGGUAUCGGAGGCGCCCAAAGGUUCCCUCAGAAUGGACGGAAACCAUUCGAAGAGUGCAAAGGCAGAAGGGAGCUUGACUGCGACACCGACGGGUGGAGCAGGUACGAAAGUAGGGCUUAGUGAUCCGGUGGUAUUAAGUGGGAACGCCAUCGCUCAACGGAUAAAAGCUACCCUGGGAUAACAGGCUUAUCACUCCCAAGAGUUCACAUCGACGGAGUGGUUUGGCACCUGAUGUCGGCUCAUCGCAUCCUGGGGCUGUAGUAGGUCCCAAGGGUUGGGCUGUUCGCCCAUUAAAGCGGUACGCGAGCUGGGUUCAGAACGUCGUGAGACAGUUCGGUCCCUAUCCGGCGUGGGCGUAGGAUAUCUGAGAGGGGCUGUCCUUAGUACGAGAGGACCGGGAUGGACGGGCCGCUGGUGCAUCGGUUAGACUGCCAAGUCUACGGCCGAGUAGCCAAGCCCGGAAGGGAUAAACGCUGAAGGCAUCUAAGCGUGAAGCCCCCCUUAAGAUGAGAUAUCCCAUUCGAAAGAAGUAAACCCCCUUGAAGACGACGAGGUAGAUAGGGCAGAGGUGGAAGUGUGGCAACACAUGGAGCUGACUGUUACUAAUCGGGUGAGGGCUUGACCUA
RNAcentral lists this ribosomal RNA (1302 nucleotides) under metagenome. Its description in RNAcentral is "bacterial LSU rRNA". It matches the Rfam family "Bacterial large subunit ribosomal RNA", at positions 1604 to 2925 of the family's 2925-position model. The record is from RNAcentral.